RNAcentral lists this ribosomal RNA (466 nucleotides) under uncultured bacterium. RNAcentral describes it as "partial 16S ribosomal RNA". It matches the Rfam family "Bacterial small subunit ribosomal RNA", at positions 28 to 506 of the family's 1533-position model. The record is from RNAcentral.
GAUGAACGCUGGCGGCGUGCUUAACACAUGCAAGUCGAACGGUGAAGCAGAGCUUGCUCUGUGGAUCAGUGGCGAACGGGUGAGUAACACGUGAGCAACCUGCCCCUGACUCUGGGAUAAGCGCUGGAAACGGCGUCUAAUACUGGAUAUGAGCUGCGACCGCAUGGUCAGCAGUUGGAAAGAUUUUUCGGCCUGGGAUGGGCUCACGGCCUAUCAGCUUGUUGGUGAGGUAAUGGCUCACCAAGGCGUCGACGGGUAGCCGGCCUGAGAGGGUGACCGGCCACACUGGGACUGAGACACGGCCCAGACUCCUACGGGAGGCAGCAGUGGGGAAUAUUGCACAAUGGGCGAAAGCCUGAUGCAGCAACGCCGCGUGAGGGAUGACGGCCUUCGGGUUGUAAACCUCUUUUAGCAGGGAAGAAGCGAAAGUGACGGUACCUGCAGAAAAAGCGCCGGCUAACUACGU